RNAcentral lists this ribosomal RNA (442 nucleotides) under uncultured bacterium. RNAcentral's name for it is "partial 16S ribosomal RNA". It matches the Rfam family "Bacterial small subunit ribosomal RNA", at positions 338 to 795 of the family's 1533-position model. The record is from RNAcentral.
CCUACGGGAGGCUGCAGUAGGGAAUUUUUCACAAUGGGCGAAACCCUGAUGGAGCAACGCCGCGUGCAGGAUGAAGGCCUUCGGGUUGUAAACUGCUUUUAUAAGCGAGAAAUAUGAUGGUAACUUAUGAAUAAGGAUCGUCUAACUACGUGCCAGCAGCCGCGGUCAUACGUAGGAUCCGAGCAUUAUCCGGAGUGACUGGGUGUAAAGAGUUGCGUAGGUGGCAUAAUAAGUAGCUAGUGAAAUCUGGUGGCUAAACCAUUCAGACUAUUAGCUAAACUGUUAAGCUCGAGACCGUUAGGGGCAUCUGGAAGUUCUAGUGUAGGAGUGAAAUCCGUAGAUAUUAGAAGGAACACCAAUAGCGUAGGCAGGAUGCUGGGACGGUUCUGACACUAAGGCACGAAAGCGUAGGGAGCAAACGGGAUUAGAUACCCGGGUAGUC